Molecule: ribosomal RNA, 253 nt
Filed under: uncultured bacterium
Lineage: Bacteria
Description: partial 16S ribosomal RNA
Rfam family: Bacterial small subunit ribosomal RNA
Source: RNAcentral
UACAGAGGGUGCAAGCGUUAAUCGGAAUCACUGGGCGUAAAGCGCGUGUAGGCGGCUUGGCAAGUCGGAUGUGAAAUCCCGAGGCUCAACCUCGGAACUGCACUCGAAACUGCCUGGCUCGAGUCCCGGAGAGGGUGGCGGAAUUCCCGGUGUAGGGGUGAAAUCCGUAGAUAUCGGGAGGAACACCAGUGGCGAAGGCGGCCACCUGGACGGUGACUGACGCUGAGACGCGAAAGCGUGGGGAGCAAACAGG